UUGCACUAUUUUUCUUUAAUUUGUCCUCCUUUUGUUCAUUUGAAUCAAUUGAUAUCUAAACCAGAAAGUACCUUUCCGAAGUUUCAAUGUAAAAGCCUUAAGAGGAAACCAAAUACUUAGAUGUACCUGCUAGCAUUUGGCCUUAAUUUAUGACCGAAUCAUUCUUAUAAGGGCAUCUCUAGGGGGAUGGCCCAAAUGGACAAAUGUGAUCCGUUUGUGUCCGCACGGACAAAGAGCUAAAAGCAGCACGGCACCCCCAAACUGACCACUGUCAUUUGUUUGGCCAGGACUGAAUCAUUUGCAAACCAAAUUGGUGCCCGUCCGUUUGGGUGAUCAGCCUGGCCCAUUGUCAGUCAAAUUACUCAAUGUCUCUCCCACGUACCGUAACUUUGCUUCUCUAUCACCCCCUGACUCAACACACCACCACUGAACGUCUUUGUCCACCACACCGAUGCAGCCUGUCACAUUUCUCAUGGAAUAGGCCACUGGGGCUGCGCAUGCUGGUCUGCUCUACCUUGCGUCAGGACAUGCUCCUUCUCCACGCCGCAGGCAAGUUGUGUGGGUCUCCGCCACGAUAACAGUGUGCUCCUAUUUAAUGGGCUUGUUCAGGCUCCCUGACCACACCUUUGCUUUUGAGGAGGAAGGAGAGAUAGACCCGUUGGUCUGAUGCAGCGCACAUGGUUCUGUAUGGUGCUCUCGCGGACAUUACUCCGUGCCGUGGAGCUGCUGGUGUCGUCGUCCUCACAUGCACUUGCUGGCAUCACCAUCAAGUAUGGUGUCAAGAUAUCUGACAUCAAGAGGCAGAUGUGGUCCGUUGUUUUUGUCGUUGUCAAGGGCACUAUCUACUGAGAUAUUAGGUAUGGUCUGCUCUUGUCAUGUUAUAUUCCUUCAUCAGUCGCUCACACUUACUCAUAGCCACCCCCAGAUGAUUGAAUCUCUAUGGCUUCGUGUGUCCAUUAGAGGACUUGGGCGUAGGUGAGGCAUAGAAUGGGAGGAUGUGUUCGCUAAAUAUAGUCAGGUCAGGUAAGGCAUGUUUCUGUCAUGCUUCUCUUUUUCAUCUGGAUAGGAAGAUUUACUUAUGUACAUUUAAACGGUAACUCUUGUUUCUUUUGUUAAACCAAGAGAAAUAUGGACCAUGAAGGUUUGGUUACAUUGCCUAAUUUUGUACUCAAUUGCAUUCUAAAGUGCAGCAAAUAGUUUAUUCUUUGUAUGCUAUUGCUGUUCUUUACUACUGCCAUUUGAAGAUUUGGAGCUCACAGUGCAAGAAGUAUCUUUUGUUAUAGAAGACGUUCAUAUGAUUUCCUUCCAUAUUGCUUUAUGAAUUUACCUAUGUAUAAUGAAUCUCCUUGAGUUAUGUCUCAAGAUAUAUAAUAUUCUGUUUCAGUCAAGAUCUGAAGGAUGCCGAGUUCUAUCUGGAGAAACCAAAACUAUUGCUAAAACCUUAUCAAAGGAGCAUCAUGAUUCGUCAAGGCUGUGAAUUUAGA
Long non-coding RNA from Lolium rigidum, 1484 nucleotides. RefSeq lists it as uncharacterized. The transcript has 3 exons. NCBI's taxonomy places the organism in Eukaryota, Viridiplantae, Streptophyta, Magnoliopsida, Poales, Poaceae. The record is from RefSeq and is a predicted model, not a curated record.